GCCUCCGUGGCGCAAUCGGCUAGCGCGUUCGGCUGUUAACCGAAAGUUUGUUGGUUCGAGCCAACACGGGGGCG
RNAcentral lists this transfer RNA (74 nucleotides) under Trichonephila clavipes. It matches the Rfam family "tRNA". From Rfam's summary of the family: Transfer RNA (tRNA) molecules are approximately 80 nucleotides in length. Their secondary structure includes four short double-helical elements and three loops (D, anti-codon, and T loops). Lineage: Eukaryota; Metazoa; Arthropoda; Arachnida; Araneae; Nephilidae. The record is from Rfam by way of RNAcentral.